Molecule: long non-coding RNA, 1352 nt
Organism: Scatophagus argus
Lineage: Eukaryota; Metazoa; Chordata; Actinopteri; Scatophagidae
Exons: 2
Source: RefSeq, a predicted model, not a curated record
GCUCGCUGUCGGCUCUGUAGCUCCGUACGGAGGACUUGGUGCUCUCGAUGCACCACUGAGCGCACUGGACACCGUGCAGGUGGAAGAAAAUCACGGAUCCUUUACUUAAUGAAGCUGUCUUAAGUAGGCCUGAGCAUGAAUCUGUCCUGGGGGGUUACGUGGAAAAAUCUGAUGUGAAAUGAUUGCUGCAUUAGUGCUAAGCAAAGUUAACUGUAUGAUGUACACGAUCAGGCCUGCUGCUGAAAGUAACACGAGAGAAGAUUGAGCUUUGCGAGCUUCUCAGCGGUUUCUGUGCAGUACCGCCUGUUGGACACCAGGCGGCAGCCCAGGCAAACACUUGCUUCAUUUGUGAAGCCUCCUACAGAGGAAGCGGUGAUCCAGCGUUUGUUUACCUGACAUGACAGUGAAGCGUUUAUACGUUUCCAAUGCAAAACAUGUCACAUAUUAUGUGUUAAUACAGUCCACGUGCAGGACCAAACGGUGUCAAAAGCCGUUUCACACUGUGGUGUCUUCCUCCAGCAGGCUGCUGUCAGCGGGUCAGCCGCUCUGGAGGGAGUCCCGGGGGGAAGAGCAGCUCGCUGCCCUGCCCUCCAGCAGGAGGUAUGUGGGGAUUAGGGGGAGGUCACCGACUGACCCCGCUGUACGCGACCUCUGCUCGGAGCUGCUCAUAAAUCCUGCUGCAGAUCCUGCACCCCCCUGUGCUCGCUCACACACGUGCUGAAAACACACCUGAACAAGCCUCCGAGCUGUUCAACUUAAAGGGUCACUGCACACAAACUGUGGAAGAACCCGCAGAGUGGUUCGAGCUAACAAGCUAACAUCCGGGUGACAUGAUGAUGAUAAUGGAAGUGCACUGUGGUUCACAUGUGAUGACAUGAGCUCCAGCCGGCGUUUCCCUUCCCGCACUUGUUUUUCAUUUGCAGCUGACUCAUGUGGUUGAAGGCACCUCUGCACCUUUUCAUCUUCACUCUGAACCGAAGAGCGAGUCGUCGCCACGCGGCCAGUGGAAAGCUUCGCCGAAGCCAGGGGGUGGCCUGAGGUCGAAAUAAGAAGCCGUUUCAAACAUCAGAGUGGAGUUCAAAAGUGGCUUUGAAGCGUCUGGUUCUGCUGCUGUCAGACCACACUCACAGUUCACACCACCCUGAGCUGGAGCUGCCUCUUCACCGAACAGAGCUUCAGCUGAGGGAACAAAAUCAGUUUAAGUGUCUUCAUGUAGAACCCAGCAGAGCAGAAGUUUAUCGUUUGAGUUGAACUUAAUCAGGCGGAUCCACUACAUUGUGUCAGUGUGUCAUUGAUGAGGAACUACAGAAUGAACUGUGGUCAAAACACAAACAUUAAAAAUGUAAACAUCA